UACAGAGGUGCCAAGCGUUAGGCGGACUCACUGGGCUUAAAGCGCGUGUAGGCGGGUCGUUACGUGUCUUGUGAAAUCCCACGGCUCAACCGUGGAACUGCUGGGCAUACUGACGAUCUUGAGGCACUCAGGGGCUGUCGGAACAAAUGGUGGAGCGGUGAAAUGCGUAGAUAUCAUUUGGAACGCCAACGGUGAAAACAGACAGCUGGGGGUGUCCUGACGCUGAGACGCGAAAGCCAGGGGAGCGAACGGG
RNAcentral lists this ribosomal RNA (253 nucleotides) under uncultured bacterium. Its description in RNAcentral is "partial 16S ribosomal RNA". It matches the Rfam family "Bacterial small subunit ribosomal RNA", at positions 524 to 776 of the family's 1533-position model. The record is from RNAcentral.